GUGCCUCGGGCGGCGG
This 16-nucleotide ribosomal RNA is filed under the name Lentinus tigrinus. Its description in RNAcentral is "partial 18S ribosomal RNA". Lineage: Eukaryota; Fungi; Basidiomycota; Agaricomycetes; Polyporales; Polyporaceae. The record is from RNAcentral.